GUCUUUUUGUAAAUAAUAUAAAGUCUAAUCUGCCCACUGAUUUAAUUAUUAAAGGGCUGCAGUAUUUUGACUGUACAAAGGUAGCAUAAUCAUUAGUCAUUUAAUUGAUGACUUGUAUGAAAGAUUGGAUGAGAUAUAUACUGUCUCUUAAUUAUAAUAUAAAAUUUAAUUUUUUAGUUAAAAAGCUAAAAUAAAUUAAAAAGACGAGAAGACCCUAUAGAGUUUUAUAAAUUAUAUUUAUUAAGAUUAUUUAUAAAUUUAAUAAUUAAAAUAAUUUAAUUUAAUUUGUUGGGGUGACAAAAAAAUAAAAAUAACUUUUUUUUAAUUGAACAUAAAUAAGUGAAUAAUUGAUCCAAUAUUAUUGAUUAUAAGAAAAAAUUACCUUAGGGAUAACAGCGUAAUUUUUUUUUUUAGUUCAUAUAAAAAAAAGAGUUUGCGACCUCGAUGUUGGAUUAAGAUAAAAUUUAAAUGCAGAAGUUUAAAAUUUUUGAUCUGUUCGAUCAUUAAAAUCUUACAU
This 517-nucleotide ribosomal RNA is filed under the name Helicoverpa assulta. RNAcentral's name for it is "partial 16S rRNA". It matches the Rfam family "Archaeal large subunit ribosomal RNA", at positions 1911 to 2670 of the family's 2987-position model. The record is from RNAcentral. Lineage: Eukaryota; Metazoa; Arthropoda; Insecta; Lepidoptera; Noctuidae.